CUGGGCAGUGGGGAGUGGUGAGCUCCAUUGUGUACACUUGUAAGCAGCCCAGAAAGGUGAAGACCUGUUCGUGAACUCCAGAGGCCAUUGGAAGCGUGAAAGGCUAUGGCUGGCACUCUUCCUCUUUUUCCAGUUCACUGAGACAGAUGGGAGGCCCGGAGGAGAAAGAGUGAAGGAAGGCAUUUCAGCCCGAGUAAACUCCCCAGGCCCCCUCUGUGCCAGGCAGUGUUGCAAGCCUCGGCUUCUAGCACAGUGCUUUGUGCACAGUAAACACUCCAGCGGCUGUUGACCAAUGAAUGAAUGAAGAUUGUAGGCUCAAAUAUUCAAGUUAUCAAAGUGCAAAGAAUGAGAGGUUGUUUGCACUGGACUUCAAAAAUAAAUAGCCUGGACCUGUAACUGUCUUACACAACAGCUAUGAGCUACUGGUAUGUGGCUAGUCCAAACUGAAAUGGCCUUUAAGAGUAAAAUACACACUGGAUUUCAAAGACUUAGUACAAAGAAAAAAUGCAAAAUAGCUCAUUAGUAAUUUUUAUGUUAAUGACAUGUUGAAAUAACAUUUUGAUAUAUUGAGUUAAGUAAAAUAUAGUAUUAGAAUUAA
RNAcentral lists this non-coding RNA (598 nucleotides) under Pongo abelii (Sumatran orangutan). Lineage: Eukaryota; Metazoa; Chordata; Mammalia; Primates; Hominidae. The record is from RNAcentral.